GAGGGCUUAGGGCAAUGGUUUUCAGCCCCGUAAAACAGUUCCUUGUGUUGUGGUGAGCCCCAAACACACAAUUAUUUCAUUCCUACUUCAUACUGUUACGAAUCAUAAUGUAAAUAUCUAAUAUUCAAUCCCUGUGGGAGUCUCAAGCCAUGGGCUGAGAACCGCUGGCUUAGAGAGUAUGAAUAGGAAAUAAAGAUGACACUGAAAAUAC
This 211-nucleotide long non-coding RNA is filed under the name Mus musculus (house mouse). RNAcentral describes it as "long non-coding RNA chr9:78473941-78474152". Lineage: Eukaryota; Metazoa; Chordata; Mammalia; Rodentia; Muridae. The record is from RNAcentral.